This 442-nucleotide ribosomal RNA is filed under the name uncultured bacterium. RNAcentral describes it as "partial 16S ribosomal RNA". It matches the Rfam family "Bacterial small subunit ribosomal RNA", at positions 338 to 795 of the family's 1533-position model. The record is from RNAcentral.
CCUACGGGUGGCAGCAGUGGGGAAUAUUGGGCAAUGGUCGAAAGCCUGACCCAGCAACGCCGCGUGAAGGAAGAAGGUUUUCGGGUUGUUAACUUCUUUUGACCGGGAAGAGCAGAAGACGGUACCUGUCGAAUAAGCCACGGCUAACUACGUGCCAGCAGCCGCGGUCAUACGUAGGUGGCCAGCGUUGUCCUGAUUUACGGGGUGUAAAGGGCGUGUAGCCGGGCUGACGAGUCCGAUGUGAAAUCCGGGGGCUCAACCCCCGAACUGCAUUUGAAACUGGUAGUCUUGUGUAUCGGAGAGGCAGGCGGAAUGCGCGGUGUAGCGGUGAAAUGCGUAGAUAUUGGGAAGAACACCGAUGGCGAAGGCAGCCUGCUGGACGACAACUGACGGUGAGGCGCGAAAGCGUGGGGAGCGAACAGGAUUAGAUACCCUGGUAGUC